RNAcentral lists this ribosomal RNA (253 nucleotides) under uncultured bacterium. RNAcentral's name for it is "partial 16S ribosomal RNA". It matches the Rfam family "Bacterial small subunit ribosomal RNA", at positions 524 to 776 of the family's 1533-position model. The record is from RNAcentral.
UACGUAGGGUGCAAGCGUUGUCCGGAAUUAUUGGGCGUAAAGAGUUCGUAGGCGGUUUGUCGCGUCGUUUGUGAAAACCGGCAGCUCAACUGCUGGCUUGCAGGGGAUACGGGCAGACUUGAGUGCCGCAGGGGAAACUGGAAUUUCUGGUGUAGCGGUGAAAUGCGUAGAUAUCAGGAGGAACACCGGUGGCGAAGGCGGGUCUCUGGGCAGUAACUGACGCUGAGGAACGAAAGCGUGGGUAGCGAACAGG